This 259-nucleotide ribosomal RNA is filed under the name uncultured bacterium. RNAcentral's name for it is "partial 16S ribosomal RNA". It matches the Rfam family "Bacterial small subunit ribosomal RNA", at positions 524 to 776 of the family's 1533-position model. The record is from RNAcentral.
UACGAAGGGUGCAAGCGUUACUCGGAAUUACUGGGCGUAAAGCGCACGUAGGCGGGUGGUUAAGUCAGGGGUGAAAUCCCGGAGCUCAACUCCGGAACUGCCUUUGAUACUGGCCAUCUAGAGAUCGGAAGAGGUGAGUGGAAAUUCCCAGUGUAGAGGUGAAAAUUCGUAGAUAUUGGGAAGAACACCAGUGGCGAAGGCGGCUCACUGGUCCGAUACUGACGCUGAGGUGGCGAAAAGCGUGGGGGAGCAAAACAGG